This 253-nucleotide ribosomal RNA is filed under the name uncultured bacterium. RNAcentral describes it as "partial 16S ribosomal RNA". It matches the Rfam family "Bacterial small subunit ribosomal RNA", at positions 524 to 776 of the family's 1533-position model. The record is from RNAcentral.
UACAGAGGGUGCGAGCGUUAAUCGGAAUUACUGGGCGUAAAGCGUGCGUAGGUGGUUCGUUAAGUCCGUUGUGAAAGCCCCGAGCUCAACUUGGGAAUUGCAGUGGAUACUGGCGAGCUGGAGUGCGGUAGAGGAAGGUGGAAUUCCCGGUGUAGCGGUGAAAUGCGUAGAGAUCGGGAGGAACACCAGUGGCGAAGGCGGCCUUCUGGACCAGCACUGACACUCAAGCACGAAAGCGUGGGGAGCAAACAGG